This 1833-nucleotide ribosomal RNA is filed under the name marine metagenome. Its description in RNAcentral is "bacterial LSU rRNA". It matches the Rfam family "Archaeal large subunit ribosomal RNA", at positions 1133 to 2956 of the family's 2987-position model. The record is from RNAcentral.
AUUAUGAUUAAGUGUGAAAGGAUGUGGAAAUUCCUAAACAGCCGGGAGGUUGGCUUAGAAGCAGCCAUCCUUUAAAGAGUUCGUAACAGAUCACCAGUCGAGUUUCUGGGCCCAGAAAAUGGACGGGACUAAGCGGUUCACCGAUACUUCGGGCCACCGAAAGGUGAUGCGGUAGAGAGGCGUCGUGCGUGGAUGGAAGCAGGGGCGUGAGUUCCUGUGGACCGCGUUCGAAUGAUAAUCAUGGGAAGAGUAGUAGCGUAGACGGGUGAGAAUCCCGUCCGCCGUAGGGGCUAGGGUUCCUCGACGAUGUUCAUCAGUCGAGGGUUAGUCGGUCCUAAGGUUUCCCCUAACAGGAGAAAUCGAAAGGGAAGCAGGUUAAUAUUCCUGCACCAGUCCGUAUUUUGUCCAGUUCUUGACACAUCGGGUGCGACGGAGCACUCCUGUCGGAGUGUUGCUGAUUGCGAUAAAGUCGUGGAGAACCGUAAUGGUGAGAAGCGACCUAAGUGGUCGGGAGGCGGAGUAUUUCGCUUCCGUUCUAUCCUGGUGUCCGUGAAAAGGGAGCUGGAGCCGUACUGACUGUCCGUACCGAGAUCUGACACAGGUGCCCCUAGGUGAGUAGCCUAAGGCGUCGCGGCAUAAUCAAGGCAAGGGAAUUCGGCAAAUUGGCCCCGUACCUUUGGUAGAAGGGGUGCCAGCCUUGCAGAAGGCUGGUCGCAGUGACCAGGGAGCUCCGACUGUUUACUAAAAACACAGGUGGCUGCUAGUCCGUAAGGAUGAGUAUAGCCGCUGAAUCCUGCCCAGUGGCGGUAUCUGAAACCCGGUUUCACCCGGACGAAGGACCGCUAAACGGCGGGGGUAACUAUGACCCUCUUAAGGUAGCGUAAUACCUUGUCGCUUAAUUGGCGACUUGCACGAAUGGCCUAACGAGAGCUCUACUGUCCCUGCCUUGAGCCCGAUGAAAUUGACGUACUGGCGCACAGUCCAGUACGUCCCAGCCGCAAGCGAAGACCCCGUGGAGCUUUACUGCAGCCUGUCGUUGUGGUACGAGUUGUAAUGUGCAGGGUAGACGGGAGCCAUCGAAACCUGGGCGCCAGCUCGGGUGGAGGCAACGAUGAAACACCGUCCUUUACGAUUCGUCCCGCUAAACCCCUUCGGGGGGACACCGAUAGGUGGGCAGUUUGGGUGGGGCGCCACUCCCUCGAAAAAAUAACAAGGGAGCUCAAAGGUCAGCUUAGGUAGGUCAGAAAUCUACCGUAAAGUGCAAGGGCAAAAGCUGGCUUGACGUGGUUUGGCACCACAACAAACCACGAUGCGAAAGCAGGACCUAGCGAACCAACCAGCCCCGUUAGUAGGGGCGGUUGAUAACAGAAAAGUUACCCCGGGGAUAACUGAGUUGUCUGGAGCAAGAGCCCAUAUCGACCUCCAGGCUUGCUACUUCGAUGUCGUCUCUCUCUAUCCUGGGUGUGCAGAAGCACCCAAGGGUGGGGUUGUUCGCCCAUUAAAAGGGAUCGUGAGAUGGGUUUAGUCCGUCGUGAGACAGGAUUGUUGCUAUGUGCUGGGACCGUUUUGUGCCUGAAGGAAAGGGCCCCUUAGUACGAGAGGAACGGGGGCUCGCAGCCACUAGUUUACCAGUUGUCCGACAGGGCAUUGCUGGGCAGCCACGCUGCAAGGGAUAAGAGCUGAAAGCAUCUAAGCUCGAAACCCACCCCGAGACGAGGCACUUUGACGCCCGUAGAAGACGGGAUGAUAGGACCGGGGUGUACGCACCGAGAAUUAUAGUGGUGCCAGAAACCGCUUCGGUGGCGGAAGGUACCACUUCGAGGUGUUCAGCCC